This 69-nucleotide transfer RNA is filed under the name Phyllopteryx taeniolatus (common seadragon). RNAcentral describes it as "tRNA-Ala". It matches the Rfam family "tRNA". Rfam says of the family: Transfer RNA (tRNA) molecules are approximately 80 nucleotides in length. Their secondary structure includes four short double-helical elements and three loops (D, anti-codon, and T loops). Further hydrogen bonds mediate the characteristic L-shaped molecular structure. tRNAs have two regions of fundamental functional importance: the anti-codon, which is responsible for specific mRNA codon recognition, and the 3' end, to which the tRNAs corresponding amino acid is attached (by aminoacyl-tRNA synthetases). tRNAs cope with the degeneracy of the genetic code in two manners: having more than one tRNA (with a specific anti-codon) for a particular amino acid; and 'wobble' base-pairing, i.e. permitting non-standard base-pairing at the 3rd anti-codon position. The record is from RNAcentral. Lineage: Eukaryota; Metazoa; Chordata; Actinopteri; Syngnathiformes; Syngnathidae.
AAGGCUUUAGCUUAAUUAAAGUGUCUGUUUUGCAUGCAGGAGAUGUGAGUUAGUGUCUUGCAAGUCUUA